Molecule: microRNA precursor, 64 nt
Filed under: Eisenia fetida (common brandling worm)
Lineage: Eukaryota; Metazoa; Annelida; Clitellata; Crassiclitellata; Lumbricidae
Description: Efe-Mir-2-P12f_pre stem-loop
Source: RNAcentral
ACAUUCAAGUGGCUGUUGUGCGUUCUCAGGUCCCAUAUUCGUAUCACAGCCAGCUUGGAUCAGG